RNAcentral lists this ribosomal RNA (469 nucleotides) under uncultured bacterium. RNAcentral's name for it is "partial 16S ribosomal RNA". It matches the Rfam family "Bacterial small subunit ribosomal RNA", at positions 28 to 507 of the family's 1533-position model. The record is from RNAcentral.
GACGAACGCUGGCGGCGUGCUUAACACAUGCAAGUCGAACGGUGAAGCGAGUGCUUGCACUCGUGGAUCAGUGGCGAACGGGUGAGUAACACGUGAGUAACCUGCCCAUCACUCUGGGAUAAGCACUGGAAACGGUGUCUAAUACUGGAUACGACCAACCCUUGCAUGGGGUGUUGGUGGAAAGAUUUAUCGGUGAUGGAUGGACUCGCGGCCUAUCAGCUUGUUGGCGGGGUAGUGGCCCACCAAGGCGACGACGGGUAGCCGGCCUGAGAGGGUGACCGGCCACACUGGGACUGAGACACGGCCCAGACUCCUACGGGAGGCAGCAGUGGGGAAUAUUGCACAAUGGGCGAAAGCCUGAUGCAGCGACGCCGCGUGAGGGAUGACGGCCUUCGGGUUGUAAACCUCUUUCAGCAGGGAAGAAGCGAAAGUGACGGUACCUGCAGAAGAAGCACCGGCUAACUACGUG